RNAcentral lists this long non-coding RNA (2815 nucleotides) under Triticum aestivum (bread wheat). RNAcentral's name for it is "long non-coding RNA (TAES_LNC014760)". The record is from RNAcentral. Lineage: Eukaryota; Viridiplantae; Streptophyta; Magnoliopsida; Poales; Poaceae.
ACGAGCAGGGGCGCCUUUCCUCCCUCCCAUCCUCCUCCUCCGCGCGACGGAGGAGCCGCCGGACCACGCCACGGCCACGAGGUACGUACGACGCGAGCCUUCCCUCUGUCCAGAUGGUUUGAUUUGCGUGUGGUUCGGGCGAAAUUCGCGGUUUCGUGGUGGAAUUAUCCGGUCCUCUGCCUCGUGCUACAGCCUGCUUGGUUGACCCGUGGGCUUCAGUUUGGUGUCUGGCGCUCGUUUGUUUGAGGGUUCCAUUGCCGAUUCGGGUGGAAUUUGUCGUCCUCCUUGUUCCUUGUUCGCCCGCGAGCUGGAGCGGAUUUGAUUGGACGGGAGGUUGGACAUGGGGUCUCGUCGAGGAGGGGAUCGGAUGAUGCGGGAUUGCAGGGUUGGUGCUGGUUUGUGCCCCCCUGAUUGGAUCUGACGGUGUAGUUCAUUGAGAGGCUCCGACUCGCGGAUUAAGGAUUUGGAAUGCAUGGCUACGUUGGGCUACACUUCAGAUUCUUGACGGAAAAUGGUUACUGAGAUAUCCUUUAAAAAAAGGUUACUGAGAUUGCAAUAUCACAUUGCUGAAUUGGUGGAAGGUGCAGCGGAGAUGCAAGCAUAGGGACGUAUUGCCUUUUUAAGGGGGAUAUGGAUGUCAGUUUUCCACUUCUUGUCACCUGGCAACUAACUCCAUUUGUGUCGCUAGCAUAGUUGGAAACUUUGAAUUGACAUUGUGUCACUUUUUGAAAAGGACACCUCAACAACUUUGUUCUCCACAUAGGAAAACAACGCUGUCUCUUUAUCGCCAUGAAUGAUGACAUUUCUCAAUAGCCAUACUCACCUAAGGAAACAAAAAAUGGAUCCAGGGCUCUCAGCCUGGUUUUUCAAUAAAAAUAUCAGUAAACACAAUUUGGAGCUUCAGAAAUUCUGAUUUUGUUUUCACAUGUAGAUGCUCACUGCAUGUCUGUAAAUUGGAAAAUAUUAAUUUCUGGGCUACAAAUAUGUGGAUCUUAACAUGUGUACUACUUGCUACACCCUCCGUUUCAUAAUGUAGUGCGCAUUGAUAUUUUCAAAAGCCAAACUUCGUAAACUUUGAACAAAUUCGUAGAGAAAAGUAUCUACAUCUAAAAUACCAAAUAAAUAUCAUUAGAUACAUAAUGAGGCGUAGUUUUAUAUUGUACUUAUUUGGUAUUUUUGUAUGGUGAUAUUUUUCUCAAUAAACUUUGUCAUACUCUACAAUGUUUGAAUUUCCAAAAAAUCUACACGCGAUAUAUUAUGGAAUGAAGUGAGCAUUACAUAUUCUCACAUUUAUAUUUUUUGUAUGCCACGAUUUAAAAUAUUUUCGAUGAAAUUUGUAGAUACGGAGGCCAAAUAUAUAUCAUGCUGGGUUUUUUUCCAAACUAUUUGGAAUAUCAACAUGAUUUUCUGUUUUUUUUAAGAAAAAUCCAUGGAGCCAAGCGGCUGCACUCUAAGCAUUCACACGUUGGCCUAGAAAGAAAUUUUUGUUUGCUAAAUCCUACUGAUAAUGUACACUCCCCACAGCACUGUUAUGGUAAACAAGUUUAACUACCUUUUAUUGAGCACAGAAAACAAAAGAAUUAUCUUGAUUACAGCCUCUAGUUAGUCAUCUUCUUACGUUUCCAGCUUUUACUACUGCUGGUGAAAUUCAUAGCAAUCUAUAUGAAAAAAGGUGCAUAAAAAGCCCAAAGUAGUAAAAAGAAGUUCCUUAUGGCAACACCAACACAGAUCACCGAACCGCCCCUAAACGUUCAGACCGGGGUGUUCGGACUUUUUUUGCCAUCCAACGUGGUGCCUUAAACAUCCGUGGGCUCGUCUGGGCGUUCGAAUCCCGCAAACCGGCCACAAACUCGUGGGAGGUUUGCGGGAGUCCGGACCUCCGCCAUGUAGGCCUCCGACACCCCUAGCCUACCAAAAUCCCCUCCCUUUUCCCCCACUCCGUCCCUCCCCCCUUGCUCUGUAUCCGCACCUUCCCAGUCCGCCGCCGCCGCUCUACCACCCUGGCAGCCACCCAGGCCUUGCGGACCAUCCGCCACCCCACCCACGUGCCUGCCUGCCUUGGACUACGCCGCCAUUUCGCCCCGAUCCAUCCACAGCCAGGUAUCCAAAGGCCCUGCCGACGCCGUCCAACACCAUGCCCUGCAAGUGUUCGGUCAAAUGCCAAUGAUAAUUUUUUCAAUGUUAUCGUUGUUUACUUUGAAGCAAGCACGAUGACCGGCUAGAAAAAAACAGGGGCGGACAUUUGGUGCAUAGGAUUGGAUGUCCGGCUCCCCUAUCGGUGCUUGCGGAUGCGUCCGCGGAUGUUUGGUGUGUCCGGUUUGGUGAUCCGCGUUAGAGUUGCUCUUAUUUCUCAGUAGCCCACCCAUUGACCCAUUUUGUAUAUAUUACAAAGGAAAACACGUGUGAAUUCUUGGCAUUCCAUUUCUUUAGUUUGAAAGAUGGAAAAUAAGUUGUGAUUUAGUGUUACGGUGCAUAGUGGAAUUGAGAAGAUUCUUGCUCUACUAUCUUGCAUUCGUUAGCAGUACUGUUAUGAUUUAUUAAUUAAUUUGCUUUUGUAGAUAUUCUCAUCAUAUGGAUUAAGGGAUUUAUACAAGAGUGAAACCUGUUCUUGUUUCAGCCAGAUCUCAGACUCAUAUAAUUGAUUGAGUUGGAAAUAAGGAAAGAUCACUUCCUGGUAAUCACUAAAUCUUGUUUUUUGUACCAUCACUUUUUGUUGAAGUAUGCUCACUUGCCUGCAUUUGUUUUGUGCAUGUCGUUAUCUAGAACUGACGACUUCCAUGAGCCCAUUAGCCCAUAAUUGUGAUGCGUACCCUUU